Labrus bergylta (ballan wrasse) is the source of this 918-nucleotide long non-coding RNA. RefSeq lists it as uncharacterized. The record is from RefSeq and is a predicted model, not a curated record. NCBI's taxonomy places the organism in Eukaryota, Metazoa, Chordata, Actinopteri, Labriformes, Labridae.
CUUUCUUGUCAAGUCACGUGUCAGCAUGAUAUGUGCUCUUGUUUCCAUUUGUAGUAAGAGCUGUAUUGAUCGACUGCGUAUCAGCAAGCUUUGGUAAGUGAGCCAGGGUGAUGCCACUAACGUUUCAGAUGUGAACACCUCAUGGAGAAGGAAGUCUUGCCUGGAAGUCAUUUACCAAUGGCUUCACCAGAAUUACGUAGAAAUUGGCAUCAAAUCCUAGAAACAAAUAUUGUCGACAGACACUGAUUGCAGGGAGUGAAAUGUUGUUUUAAACAGGCAGAGUGAGGACAGCCUGCUGCAGAGUUUGGGUCAUCAGUGUGGUCAUUAAGCAGACAGUAAUGGGCCAUGAGAGAGGCUGUUCUGCUCUGGCGCCGGGCCGGCCGACCUGUGGAUCCCACCAACAUUAUCAGUCGACCGAUCGCACCAUUAUGCCCUUGAUCGAGGGGAACUCUGGAUGUUUUCUGGAGGAGAGCGAAAGGGUUCACAGUGUGCUUCAAACCUGCAGACUGAACAGCGAGCAGGAAAGCAAAAGGUCACGGACAUCUACAUGCGGCAUGUAAAGUUGAACGUGAGAGAUCACUGUGGAAGAAAAGACAAAGAUUGCGUAUGAAAAGAUGACAGAAAUGCACUCGGCACUACAAACUCAAAUGACAGUAAAUGUCAACUUAGCCACUCACUGCUGCCACUCCUUCAUAUUUAUUUAAUUUCCUGCCAGAGACUUGUCUGUUGGGUGACUUCUUGUGAAAAGGAAAUGUGUUUCUUUUGCCUUGAUUCCCUAAUGAGGAAUACAAAAAAGAAAAGUCAUAUCUACAAGAUUGUUUCAGGGAAAGAAAUAAACCAACAAACUGAUCAAUGACAUCCCUGUUCUUCUAGCAAAUUCAGCCUGCUCAUUAUUUCUUUACCCCAUCUGCCCUGUGU